Molecule: ribosomal RNA, 252 nt
Filed under: uncultured bacterium
Lineage: Bacteria
Description: partial 16S ribosomal RNA
Rfam family: Bacterial small subunit ribosomal RNA
Source: RNAcentral
UACGGAGGAUGCGAGCGUUAUCCGGAUUUAUUGGGUUUAAAGGGUGUGUAGGCGGGAUGCCAAGUCAGCGGUAAAGAUGCGGUGCUCAACGCCGUCGAGCCGUUGAAACUGGCGUCCUUGAGUGGGCGAGAAGUAUGCGGAAUGCGUGGUGUAGCGGUGAAAUGCAUAGAUAUCACGCAGAACUCCGAUUGCGAAGGCAGCAUACCGGCGCCCUACUGACGCUGAGGCACGAAAGCGUGGGUAUCGAACAGG